Molecule: unclassified non-coding RNA, 448 nt
Filed under: Hevea brasiliensis (rubber tree)
Lineage: Eukaryota; Viridiplantae; Streptophyta; Magnoliopsida; Malpighiales; Euphorbiaceae
Source: RNAcentral
UUCAAACUUACCCAUUUUGAGGAGGUAUUUACAACUCACCAUUGGAUGGUCCGCAUUUACAAAUUGAAACCUCCUAGGAACAGGAUCCGAGGGAAGACCAAAAAACCAAGAUCGAAAACAAGCUCAACAACUAGAACAAAAAGAAGUGCAACUACUAAGAGGAAUCCGUGGCAUUAGGUAUCAUUUUACACGUUAGGUAUCAUUUUACAGGUUAAUGUUCUUAGAUGACUGUAUUUCAUAUAUAAUUUGCACUCGAGCAUUUGGAGAGGGAUCACGCAGGCAUAUAUUCUGUCAUUUUUCCUUGCGAGAUGCAAAUAGUCAGUCAAAGAUUUUGCUUUCUUUUUAAAAUCUUGUGUUUUCUCUCAACGUUUUGCUGCAACAACUACACAUCAUUUUUGGAUUAAUAGCUUUUAAUUUACUGAGCAAUGCCAAAUUAGAUUAUCUACAA